Molecule: ribosomal RNA, 505 nt
Filed under: uncultured bacterium
Lineage: Bacteria
Description: partial 16S ribosomal RNA
Rfam family: Bacterial small subunit ribosomal RNA
Source: RNAcentral
GACGAACGCUGGCGGCGUGCCUAAUACAUGCAAGUAGAACGCACAGUUUAUACCGUAGCUUGCUACACCAUAAACUGUGAGUUGCGAACGGGUGAGUAACGCGUAGGUAACCUGCCUGGUAGCGGGGGAUAGCUAUUGGAAACGAUAGCUAAUACCGCAUAAUAUUAAUUAUUGCAUGAUAAUUGAUUGAAAGAUGCAAUUGCAUCACUACCAGAUGGACCUGCGUUGUAUUAGCUAGUAGGUGAGGUAACGGCUCACCUAGGCGACGAUACAUAGCCGACCUGAGAGGGUGAUCGGCCACACUGGGACUGAGACACGGCCCAGACUCCUACGGGAGGCAGCAGUAGGGAAUCUUCGGCAAUGGACGAAAGUCUGACCGAGCAACGCCGCGUGAGUGAAGAAGGUUUUCGGAUCGUAAAGCUCUGUUGUAAGAGAAGAACGGGUGUGAGAGUGGAAAGUUCACACUGUGACGGUAUCUUACCAGAAAGGGACGGCUAACUACGUG